RNAcentral lists this ribosomal RNA (440 nucleotides) under uncultured bacterium. RNAcentral describes it as "partial 16S ribosomal RNA". It matches the Rfam family "Bacterial small subunit ribosomal RNA", at positions 338 to 795 of the family's 1533-position model. The record is from RNAcentral.
CCUACGGAGGGCAGCAGUGGGGAAUAUUGCACAAUGGGGGAAACCCUGAUGCAGCGACGCCGCGUGAGCGAUGAAGUAUUUCGGUAUGUAAAGCUCUAUCAGCAGGGAAGAAGAUGACGGUACCUGACUAAGAAUCCCCGGCUAACUCCGUGCCAGCAGCCGAGGUAAGACGUAGGGGGCAAGCGUUAUACGGAUUUACUGGGUGUAAAGGGGGCGUAGACGGCGAUGCAAGUCAGAUGUGAAAGCCCGGGGCUCAACCACGGGACUGCAUUUGGAACUGUGUGGCUGGAGUGUCGGAGAGGCAGGCGGAAUUCCUAGUGUAGCGGUGAAAUGCGUAGAUAUUAGGAGGAACACCAGUGGCGAAGGCGGCCUGCUGGACGAUGACUGACGUUGAGGCUCGAAAGCGUGGGGAGCAAACAGGAUUAGAUACCCUUGUAGUC